RNAcentral lists this ribosomal RNA (460 nucleotides) under uncultured bacterium. RNAcentral describes it as "partial 16S ribosomal RNA". It matches the Rfam family "Bacterial small subunit ribosomal RNA", at positions 338 to 795 of the family's 1533-position model. The record is from RNAcentral.
CCUACGGGGGGCAGCAGUGAGGAGUAUUGGUCAAUGGACGAGAGUCUGAACCAGCCAAGUAGCGUGAAGGAUGACUGCCCUAUGGGUUGUAAACUUCUUUUAUAUGGGAAUAAAAUGUUCCACGUGUGGGAUUUUGUAUGUACCAUAUGAAUAAGGAUCGGCUAACUCCGUGCCAGCAGCCGCGGUAAUACGGAGGAUCCGAGCGUUAUCCGGAUUUAUUGGGUUUAAAGGGAGCGUAGGUGGAUUGUUAAGUCAGUUGUGAAAGUUUGCGGCUCAACCGUAAAAUUGCAGUUGAAACUGGCAGUCUUGAGUACAGUAGAGGUGGGCGGAAUUCGUGGUGUAGCGGUGAAAUGCUUAGAUAUCACGAAGAACUCCGAUUGCGAAGGCAGUUCACUGGACUGCAACUGACACUGAGGCUCGAAAGUGUGGGUAUCAAACAGGAUUAGAUACCCCUGUAGUC